This 342-nucleotide unclassified non-coding RNA is filed under the name Amphimedon queenslandica. RNAcentral describes it as "cytoplasmic dynein 1 heavy chain 1-like, transcript variant X2". The record is from RNAcentral. Lineage: Eukaryota; Metazoa; Porifera; Demospongiae; Haplosclerida; Niphatidae.
GUUGAGUUAUGAUGAUAUGUUGAAGAGAGUUGAUCCGUUACGUAAAGAAUUGAAAGAUUUGGAAACCAAAGCUGAGGACACUUGUCAAAAAGGAGAAGAAAUAACAAAAAUAAUAGCAGAACUUGAAGCCUCUAUAGCAAAAUAUAAAGAAGAAUAUGCAAUGGUUAUAUCUGAUGCUAUAAAAAAUAGUGUUAUUAAGAAUGAUUUAUCAACUGUUGAGAAAAGGGUGAGUUCCUCCUUCGUUUGUGUCACCUUGAGAAGAGUCUCCUCACUGCAUUGAACGAGGUCAAGGGUCGUAUCCUAGACAACAACAGAAUCAUUACUGAGCUUGAGACUCUUAAG